RNAcentral lists this ribosomal RNA (465 nucleotides) under uncultured Klebsiella sp. Its description in RNAcentral is "bacterial SSU rRNA". It matches the Rfam family "Bacterial small subunit ribosomal RNA", at positions 338 to 795 of the family's 1533-position model. Lineage: Bacteria; Pseudomonadati; Pseudomonadota; Gammaproteobacteria; Enterobacterales; Enterobacteriaceae. The record is from RNAcentral.
CCUACGGGUGGCAGCAGUGGGGAAUAUUGCACAAUGGGCGCAAGCCUGAUGCAGCCAUGCCGCGUGUGUGAAGAAGGCCUUCGGGUUGUAAAGCACUUUCAGCGGGGAGGAAGGCGUUAAGGUUAAUAACCUUGUCGAUUGACGUUACCCGCAGAAGAAGCACCGGCUAAUUCCGUGCCAGCAGCCGCGGUAAUACGGAGGGUGCAAGCGUUAAUCGGAAUUACUGGGCGUAAAGCGCACGCAGGCGGUCUGUCAAGUCGGAUGUGAAAUCCCCGGGCUCAACCUGGGAACUGCAUUCGAAACUGGCAGGCUAGAGUCAUGUAGAGGGGGGUAGAAUUCCAGGUGUAGCGGUGAAAUGCGUAGAGAUCUGGAGGAAUACCGGUGGCGAAGGCGGCCCCCUGGACAAAGACUGACGCUCAGGUGCGAAAGCGUGGGGAGCAAACAGGAUUAAAUACCCGUGUAGUC